UAUGCCUACGGGGCGCAGCAGUGAGGAAUAUUGGUCAAUGGGCGAGAGCCUGAACCAGCCAAGUCGCGUGAAGGAUGACGGCCCUACGGGUUGUAAACUUCUUUUGUCAGGGAGCAAUUGGGUCCACGUGUGGGCUUAGCGAGAGUACCUGAAGAAAAAGCAUCGGCUAACUCCGUGCCAGCAGCCGCGGUAAUACGGAGGAUGCGAGCGUUAUCCGGAUUUAUUGGGUUUAAAGGGUGCGUAGGCGGAAUAUCAAGUCAGCGGUAAAAAUUCGGGGCUCAACCCCGUCCUGCCGGUGAAACUGG
Molecule: ribosomal RNA, 305 nt
Filed under: uncultured bacterium
Lineage: Bacteria
Description: bacterial SSU rRNA
Rfam family: Bacterial small subunit ribosomal RNA
Source: RNAcentral